RNAcentral lists this transfer RNA (83 nucleotides) under Nanohaloarchaea archaeon H12. It matches the Rfam family "tRNA". From Rfam's summary of the family: Transfer RNA (tRNA) molecules are approximately 80 nucleotides in length. The record is from Rfam by way of RNAcentral. Lineage: Archaea; Methanobacteriati; Methanobacteriota; Candidatus Nanohaloarchaea.
GCCGGGUUAGCCAAGUGGUCAAAGGCGACAGACUCAAGAUCUGUUCCCGCAGGGGUUCGCAGGUUCGAGUCCUGCACCCGGCA